Molecule: ribosomal RNA, 481 nt
Filed under: uncultured bacterium
Lineage: Bacteria
Description: bacterial SSU rRNA
Rfam family: Bacterial small subunit ribosomal RNA
Source: RNAcentral
CUACGUGCCAGCAGCCGCGGUAAUACGGAAGGUCCGGGCGUUAUCCGGAUUUAUUGGGUUUAAAGGGAGCGUAGGCUGGAGAUUAAGUGUGUUGUGAAAUGUAGACGCUCAACGUCUGACUUGCAGCGCAUACUGGUUUCCUUGAGUACGCACAACGUUGGCGGAAUUCGUCGUGUAGCGGUGAAAUGCUUAGAUAUGACGAAGAACUCCGAUUGCGAAGGCAGCUGACGGGAGCGCAACUGACGCUGAAGCUCGAAGGUGCGGGUAUCGAACAGGAUUAGAUACCCUGGUAGUCCGCACAGUAAACGAUGGAUGCCCGCUGUUGGUGCCUGGUAUCAGCGGCUAAGCGAAAGCAUUAAGCAUCCCACCUGGGGAGUACGCCGGCAACGGUGAAACUCAAAGGAAUUGACGGGGGCCCGCACAAGCGGAGGAACAUGUGGUUUAAUUCGAUGAUACGCGAGGAACCUUACCCGGGCUUGAA